AUACGUAGGGGGCGAGCGUUGUCCGGAAUGAUUGGGCAUAAAGGGCGCGUAGGCGGCGCGGUAAGUCUGGAGUGAAAGUCCUGCUUUCAAGGUGGGAAUUGCUUUGGAUACUGCCGCGCUUGAGUGCAGGAGAGGUUAUCGGAAUUCCCGGUGUAGCGGUGAAAUGCGUAGAGAUCGGGAGGAACACCAGUGGCGAAGGCGGGUAACUGGACUGCAACUGACGCUGAGGCGCGAAAGUGUGGGGAGCAAACAGGAUUAGAUACCCUGGUAGUCCACACUGUAAACGAUGAAUGCUAGGUGUAAGAGGUAUCGACCCCUUUUGUGCCGGAGUCAACACAAUAAGCAUUCCGCCUGGGGAGUACGGCCGCAAGGUUGAAACUCAAAUGAAUUGACGGGG
This 397-nucleotide ribosomal RNA is filed under the name uncultured bacterium. RNAcentral's name for it is "partial 16S ribosomal RNA". It matches the Rfam family "Bacterial small subunit ribosomal RNA", at positions 523 to 918 of the family's 1533-position model. The record is from RNAcentral.